This 372-nucleotide transfer-messenger RNA is filed under the name Candidatus Nanopelagicaceae. RNAcentral describes it as "ZLKRG08 sp018883345 Standard tmRNA". It matches the Rfam family "transfer-messenger RNA". From Rfam's summary of the family: Bacterial tmRNA, also known as 10Sa RNA or SsrA, is named for its dual tRNA and mRNA-like properties. Its role is to liberate the mRNA from a stalled ribosome. The record is from RNAcentral. RNAcentral also lists the same sequence under 1 other name. Lineage: Bacteria; Bacillati; Actinomycetota; Actinomycetes; Candidatus Nanopelagicales.
GGGGGUGAACGGUCUCGACUUUGGAUGUUGAGGCAGGGGAAGCGGGCCGAGGAAGCUGGGAUGAUCUCGUUAACCAAAAACUCAGCAAACAAAAUAAACGGCAGUAAGAACACUGCUGGUCUUGCCCUAGCUGCAUAAGUUAGCCCCAAGACCCGUUAGUCCGAACAUGCUCUUGGUUCGGUAACUAGCGUCGACUAAAGAGCUCCUCCGUUAACAAUGUUGCAGGUGUUAAUGGGAAAUUAACUGCAAAUGAGUUUGUCGAAGACUGGUGUGUAUGAGCUUCGGAACUGAGAAAACGUUAAACACACUACGCCCGUAGAAGCCCUGUUUUAGUACCAGAGGACCCGGGUUCAAUUCCCGGCACCUCCACUU